AACGCGAAGAACCUUACCUGGGCUUGACAUAUACCGAGUAGGGUACGGAGACGUACCCGACCGCAAGGAGGGUAUACAGGUGCUGCAUGGCUGUCGUCAGCUCGUGCCGUGAGGUGUAGGGUUAAGUCCUGAAACGAGCGCAACCCUCGGCGUUAGUUAGACAGUCUAACGCGACUGCCCGCGACAAGCGGGAGGAAGGCGGGGAUGACGUCAAGUCAGCAUGGCCUUUAUGUCCAGGGCUACACACACGCUACAAUGGUCGGUACAGUCGGUUGCCAACCCGCAAGGGGGAGCCAAUCCACAAAGCCGGCCUCAGUUCAGAUUGUGGGCUGCAACCCGCCCACAUGAAGUCGGAGUUGCUAGUAACCGCGCGUCAGCAUAGUGCGGUGAAUACGUUCCCGGGCCUUGUACACACCGAUACUC
Molecule: ribosomal RNA, 423 nt
Filed under: uncultured bacterium
Lineage: Bacteria
Description: bacterial SSU rRNA
Rfam family: Bacterial small subunit ribosomal RNA
Source: RNAcentral